Molecule: long non-coding RNA, 396 nt
Organism: Corapipo altera (White-ruffed manakin)
Lineage: Eukaryota; Metazoa; Chordata; Aves; Passeriformes; Pipridae
Exons: 3
Source: RefSeq, a predicted model, not a curated record
UGGGGGUCCCAGGGGUGUUUUGGGCUGUUUUUUGUGGUCCCAACGCUGUUUUGGGGGUCCUAAGGCUGUUUUUGGGGUCCCAAGGCUGUUUUUGGGGGUUCCCAGGUGUGUUUUGGGCUGUUUUUUGGGGUCCCGGGGCAGAUUUUGGGGUUCCCAGGGCUGUUUUUGGGUGUCCCGGGGCAGAUUUUUGGGGUCCCAAGGCUGUUUUUGGGGGUUCCCAGGGGUGUUUUGGGCUGUUUUUUGGGGUCCCAGGGCAGAUUUUGGGGUUCCCAGGGCUGUUUUUGGGGUGCCAGGGGCAUUUUGGGGUUCCCAGGGCUGUUUUUGGGUGUCCCGGGGCAGAUUUUUGGGGUCCCAAGGCUAUUUUGGGGUUCCCAGGGCUGUUUUUGGGGUGCCAGG